UAUGAUGACACACCAAAUGAUGACCACCAAUCAGAAACCACUAUGAUGACACACCAAAUGAUGACCACCAAUCAGAGACCACUAUGAUGACACACCUGUGUUUGCCGGAUCCUUCUUGUCCUCUUCUAAUGCCUCUUAAGGGGAAAGUAAUCCAAAAGUAACUGAGUUACGUUACUGAUUACAAUGUUUAACAGAUAACUAGUAACUGUAACAGAUUACAUUCAAAAAGUAACCUAUCCAACUCUGCUAACUGAAAUAUUACCUGUCGGUCUCCUCUGACUCCACAGAUUGUAUCGCUAUAGUUACUAUGGUUACCCUUAAUGGUUCCAAACGGACCCCUGUUCCCUAUAUAGUGCACAGCUUCUCCCGUGGAAGGGAUGAAAAUAAUUAACCUAUGCUAUGGGCCCUGGUCUAAAGUAGUAUCCUAUAUAGGGAAUAGGGCCCUGGUCUAAAGUAGUAUCCUAUAUAGGGAAUAGGGCCCUGGUCUAAAGUAGUGCACUAUAUAGGGAAUAGGGUGCUUUGACACGUUGACCUUUAACCUGGCUCCUGGUUUGACGCCAACAUUUAGUUAGUGUACAUAGAGAUCAUGUAUGUAUUUAUUUUGUCUUGGGUUUGUAAAGUUAUUGUGUGGUUUAUAUUGUUGAACGGUGAUAUUAAUGAAUUUUAACUCCUUAACACAUUGUCUUGUUCAUAUCCCAGCAUUUGUAGCUCAGUAUGUAUGGCUUGAUUUAAUGGCACCCUAUUCUCUAUAUAAGUGCACUACUUUUGACCAGAAUAGUGCACUUAUAAAGCGAGCAGAGUACCGCACAGAUACAGUGUGAUGUUAACGGAUGUUUUCUGACUGUAAGCCUUCCUUUAGCAGCUGUUUGAAAUAUUUACAGGAUUUCUGGGAGUUUGAGUCAUGUCUAUUAUGUUGUGUCCCCCCCCCCCCCCUAACACCUUAAUAACACUUUGAUUGGAGCAUUUAGAGAGUUUUGAUUGGAGCAUUUAAAAGGUAAAAAAUGUACUGAGGCAGUAUUCAGUGUUCUGCCCUUAUCCUGUGGUCUGAGGCAGUAUAACUGUCUCAAGAUCACUUCUGAAACUAUAGGACACGUUCCAGGUCAACUAUAUUGCAGUCGAUGCAUUAUUGCAUUAACCAACGGUUGCGUGCAGUCGGGUAUCGGAUUGGUAAAACGUGAUGUGGUUAACUAACAUGUUAAACACCGAUCCCGCUGUUAUGAAAUCUGGCGUCUGAAAUGUAGUCGGCCUGGAACGCGUCCGUUCGUCUUCCUGUUAGUGUUGUGUUGCCUGUACGUGUCUGAAGGUUCUCUGCAGUCGGCCUGGAACGCGUCCGUUCGUCUUCCUGUUAGUGUUGUGUUGCCUGUACGUGUCUGAAGGUUCUCUGCAGUCAGCCUGGAACGCGUCCGUUCGUCUUCCUGUUAGUGUUGUGUUGCCUGUACGUGUCUGAAGGUUCUCUGCAUGCCUGUGUGUUUAUGAACAUCCGAUUGCUUAAGACUACAAUCAGAGCAGGAACGCACCCCUAUCCCCUAUAUUGGGCACUACUUUUGACCAGAGUCCUAUGUGCCCUAGUCAAAAGUAGUGCACUAUGUAGGGGAUAGGGUGCCGUUGGGGAUGUUGCAGCCUGUGUGUGUGAGUACAGAACAUAUAUGUUAGGAAACAUGAUGUUUGAAACUUCUGCAUGAGUGACAAUUUUUGAUAAACUUCCUCUUUUAAAACAAAAAAACUUCUGAGGAUUUGAAGUACGGAUUAAACUAAACAUUUGAUUUGUUUCCGGACUCUGGGUGUCCUGACUCAUCGUCAGUCUCCCAAAUGGAACCCUAUUCCCUAUCUAGUGCACUACUUUUAACCAGAGUCUUAUGUGCUUCCCUAUGUGCCAUGGGUUGAAUGUAGUACACUUCUUUUUUUUUUAAAGGGAAUAGGAUCCAAUCAGCAUCCAGUAUCCAAAACACCCAGUUUUAUAACUGUUGUUAUUCUACUUGUACAGUUUGAUAUUCCUUCCUGUUCUGGGUCGUAAACAGAAACACCAACUCAGUAUAAAAGGUCUGGACUGAGAGGAUCUCUAUCUGAUAAACUAUGGCGGUGUACCAAAUGGGACCCUAUUCCCGAUCUAGUGCACUACUGUUGGCCUGAUCAGGCUACGGAAUAGGGUGCCAUUUUCAGACUUUGAUAAACAACAAUCCAACUCAAAUGUGACUCUUUUAUACAAGGAGUUGAAACCAGAGAGCUGGAAACCAGCCUAAUGAAUUUGGUGAGUGUGAUGUUAGAGUUUGAUACCAGAUGUGAUAUUGUGCUUGUAAAUACAUUAUGAAGAGAAUCGUUUCUUUCUCAACUUUGAUGGAAUUUAAAACUCUACGCUUUUCAAGAUUAAUUUUGGGAGCCAAAAUGAGUCUGUUAUCAAAUGAACAUUUGUAUGGGGAAAAAAUAAAAGUUAUAAUUUUAACAUUGAA
This is a long non-coding RNA of Salvelinus namaycush (lake trout), 2447 nucleotides long. RefSeq lists it as uncharacterized. The transcript is spliced from 2 exons. The record is from RefSeq and is a predicted model, not a curated record. Lineage: Eukaryota; Metazoa; Chordata; Actinopteri; Salmoniformes; Salmonidae.